This 1820-nucleotide ribosomal RNA is filed under the name Salmonella enterica. Its description in RNAcentral is "partial 23S ribosomal RNA". It matches the Rfam family "Bacterial large subunit ribosomal RNA", at positions 1154 to 2925 of the family's 2925-position model. Lineage: Bacteria; Pseudomonadati; Pseudomonadota; Gammaproteobacteria; Enterobacterales; Enterobacteriaceae. The record is from RNAcentral. RNAcentral also lists the same sequence under 1 other name.
CGUAUCACCCAAGACAACUUUACGGAGUUGACGAUUGACGGAGCGAAGCGACGUCAAAGCGUUCAUUAAAGUCGAGUUGGCUUAGGGAUACGUUCGUUGGGUAGGGGAGCGUUCUGUAAGCCUGUGAAGGUGUGUCGUGAGGCAUGCUGGAGGUAUCAGAAGUGCGAAUGCUGACAUAAGUAACGAUAAAGCGGGUGAAAAGCCCGCUCGCCGGAAGACCAAGGGUUCCUGUCCAACGUUAAUCGGGGCAGGGUGAGUCGACCCCUAAGGCGAGGCCGAAAGGCGUAGUCGAUGGGAAACGGGUUAAUAUUCCCGUACUUGGUGUUACUGCGAAGGGGGGACGGAGAAGGCUAUGUUGGCCGGGCGACGGUUGUCCCGGUUUAAGCGUGUAGGUGUGUGUUCCAGGUAAAUCCGGUUCACUUUAACACUGAGGCGUGACGACGAGGCACUACGGUGCUGAAGCAACAAAUGCCCUGCUUCCAGGAAAAGCCUCUAAGCAUCAGGUAACAUCAAAUCGUACCCCAAACCGACACAGGUGGUCAGGUAGAGAAUACCAAGGCGCUUGAGAGAACUCGGGUGAAGGAACUAGGCAAAAUGGUGCCGUAACUUCGGGAGAAGGCACGCUGACACGUAGGUGAAGUGAUUUACUCAUGGAGCUGAAGUCAGUCGAAGAUACCAGCUGGCUGCAACUGUUUAUUAAAAACACAGCACUGUGCAAACACGAAAGUGGACGUAUACGGUGUGACGCCUGCCCGGUGCCGGAAGGUUAAUUGAUGGGGUCAGCGCAAGCGAAGCUCCUGAUCGAAGCCCCGGUAAACGGCGGCCGUAACUAUAACGGUCCUAAGGUAGCGAAAUUCCUUGUCGGGUAAGUUCCGACCUGCACGAAUGGCGUAAUGAUGGCCAGGCUGUCUCCACCCGAGACUCAGUGAAAUUGAACUCGCUGUGAAGAUGCAGUGUACCCGCGGCAAGACGGAAAGACCCCGUGAACCUUUACUAUAGCUUGACACUGAACAUUGAGCCUUGAUGUGUAGGAUAGGUGGGAGGCUUUGAAGUGUGGACGCCAGUCUGCAUGGAGCCGACCUUGAAAUACCACCCUUUAAUGUUUGAUGUUCUAACGUGGACCCGUAAUCCGGGUUGCGGACAGUGUCUGGUGGGUAGUUUGACUGGGGCGGUCUCCUCCUAAAGAGUAACGGAGGAGCACGAAGGUUGGCUAAUCCUGGUCGGACAUCAGGAGGUUAGUGCAAUGGCAUAAGCCAGCUUGACUGCGAGCGUGACGGCGCGAGCAGGUGCGAAAGCAGGUCAUAGUGAUCCGGUGGUUCUGAAUGGAAGGGCCAUCGCUCAACGGAUAAAAGGUACUCCGGGGAUAACAGGCUGAUACCGCCCAAGAGUUCAUAUCGACGGCGGUGUUUGGCACCUCGAUGUCGGCUCAUCACAUCCUGGGGCUGAAGUAGGUCCCAAGGGUAUGGCUGUUCGCCAUUUAAAGUGGUACGCGAGCUGGGUUUAGAACGUCGUGAGACAGUUCGGUCCCUAUCUGCCGUGGGCGCUGGAGAACUGAGGGGGGCUGCUCCUAGUACGAGAGGACCGGAGUGGACGCAUCACUGGUGUUCGGGUUGUCAUGCCAAUGGCACUGCCCGGUAGCUAAAUGCGGAAGAGAUAAGUGCUGAAAGCAUCUAAGCACGAAACUUGCCCCGAGAUGAGUUCUCCCUGAGACUUAGAGUCUCCUGAAGGAACGUUGAAGACGACGACGUUGAUAGGCCGGGUGUGUAAGCGCAGCGAUGCGUUGAGCUAACCGGUACUAAUGAACCGUGAGGCUUAACCUU